GGGCCCGCACAAGCGGUGGAGCAUGUGGUUUAAUUCGAUGAUACGCGAGGAACCUUACCAGGGCUUAAAUGCAGAGCGACAGAGGUGGAAACACCUCCUUCUUCGGACGGUCUGCAAGGUGCUGCAUGGUUGUCGUCAGCUCGUGCUGUGAAGUGUCGGGUUAAGUCCCAUAACGAGCGCAACCCCUAUUUCUAGUUGCCAGCGGUUCGGCCGGGGACUCUAGAGAAACUGCCAGCGUAAGCUGUGAGGAAGGUGGGGAUGACGUCAAAUCAUCACGGCCCUUACGUCCUGGGCCACACACGUGCUACAAUGGUAAGGACAGAGAGUUGCCAACCCGCGAGGGUGAGCUAAUCCCAUAAACCGUGGCUCAGUUCAGAUCGUAGGCUGCAACUCGCCUACGUG
This 402-nucleotide ribosomal RNA is filed under the name uncultured bacterium. Its description in RNAcentral is "bacterial SSU rRNA". It matches the Rfam family "Bacterial small subunit ribosomal RNA", at positions 917 to 1322 of the family's 1533-position model. The record is from RNAcentral.